UACGUAGGGUGCGAGCGUUAAUCGGAAUUACUGGGCGUAAAGCGUACGCAGGCGGCUUGGUAAGACAGGUGUGAAAUCCCCGGGCUUAACCUGGGAACUGCAUUUGUGACUGCCUGGCUAGAGUCCGUUAGAGGGGGGUGGAAUUCCACGUGUAGCAGUGAAAAGCGUAGAUAUGUGGAGGAACACCGAUGGCGAAGGCAGCCCCCUGGGAUGAGACUGACGCUCAUGUACGAAAGCGUGGGGAGCAAACAGGAUUAG
RNAcentral lists this ribosomal RNA (258 nucleotides) under uncultured bacterium. Its description in RNAcentral is "partial 16S ribosomal RNA". It matches the Rfam family "Bacterial small subunit ribosomal RNA", at positions 524 to 781 of the family's 1533-position model. The record is from RNAcentral.